AGAACGAACGCUGGCGGCAUGCCUAAUACAUGCAAGUCGAACGAACUCUUCGGAGUUAGUGGCGCACGGGUGCGUAACGCGUGGGAAUCUGCCCCUUGGUUCGGAAUAACAGUUGGAAACGACUGCUAAUACCGGAUGAUGACGAAAGUCCAAAGAUUUAUCGCCAAGGGAUGAGCCCGCGUAGGAUUAGCUAGUUGGUGAGGUAAAGGCUCACCAAGGCAACGAUCCUUAGCUGGUCUGAGAGGAUGAUCAGCCACACUGGGACUGAGACACGGCCCAGACUCCUACGGGAGGCAGCAGUAGGGAAUAUUGGACAAUGGGCAAAGCCUGAUCCAGCAAUGCCGCGUGAGUGAUGAAGGCCUUAGGUUGUAAAGCUCUUUUACCGAGAUGAUAAUGACAGUAUCGGAGAAUAACGCCCCGGAUAACGUCCGUGCCAGCAACCGC
RNAcentral lists this ribosomal RNA (444 nucleotides) under uncultured soil bacterium. RNAcentral's name for it is "bacterial SSU rRNA". It matches the Rfam family "Bacterial small subunit ribosomal RNA", at positions 26 to 518 of the family's 1533-position model. The record is from RNAcentral.